GAGGACCGUAUUCAUGGAAGAGGAUCGAACAGAGAUGAAGUAGACAGUAUGUUGGAUAAAUCUGAAGGAAGAACAUCAACAACAAAUUUUGUGAGCAGUAUAUAACUACAUUUCAGAAGUCUUAUAUGGAUGUACAGAAAUUCAAUGAGGAAAAAGAAAAAUCAGUGAAUAGUUGUCAAAAAGAACAACAAGCAUUGAAACUGUCCAAAUGUAGUCAGAACCAGACCCUGGAAGCAGGUAAAGAAAUGCAUGAGAAGUCCAUGGAGCUGCAUCAUUGGACUCAAACUGAAUGGUCCAUGUGUUGCCACUGAUGUGAGCCAUU
This 322-nucleotide long non-coding RNA is filed under the name Mus musculus (house mouse). RNAcentral describes it as "predicted gene, 21679". Lineage: Eukaryota; Metazoa; Chordata; Mammalia; Rodentia; Muridae. The record is from RNAcentral.